CUACUCUUUCUCUCUCAAGAAUCAUUCACGACUUCAAGACCCUUUUGCCAAAUUUGAACGAAUUUUUGCACGAAUUGAAGGCAUUUCUGCAUGUAUUGAAGGUCAAGCUCACACUGAUUUGCCGAUUUGAAGCAUUUGAAGGUGUCUAUUUACUGAAAUUGGUGUAGUGCAGCUGUAGAUUGGUGGCAAAAUAAGUGGAGUAUUGUAUUCAAUCAGGUAACUUCUUAGCGACAAUGAAUAACAACGUUCCUAAUGCUAUCUUGGCUGGGAAUGAAACUCAAUUGAGCCGAAUGAGAUUGAAGUCAAAUCUCAAGAUGGAGAGAAAGCCGAGGUUCAAAAUGAAGUUGUUAUGUUCUCGAUUUCUUCUUAUUUUGUGGGCUGUUUUGGAACCAUUUUCAUUUGGAUUGUGCCGUAAAUUUAAAGUCAAAUUCCUCUCAAGAUGGAGAGGAUGAUACGGGUACAAUCAUGAAGAUUGACGUUUUUAGUGUGUUAAAUGCAACCUACGGAGUGUACGAGUUGGAGUGUGAAAAACGCUCAAAAGUAGUCCCUCUAUUUUACUCCAUG
This is a long non-coding RNA of Capsicum annuum, 564 nucleotides long. RefSeq lists it as uncharacterized. The transcript has 3 exons. NCBI's taxonomy places the organism in Eukaryota, Viridiplantae, Streptophyta, Magnoliopsida, Solanales, Solanaceae. The record is from RefSeq and is a predicted model, not a curated record.